This 1343-nucleotide ribosomal RNA is filed under the name uncultured bacterium. RNAcentral describes it as "16S ribosomal RNA". It matches the Rfam family "Bacterial small subunit ribosomal RNA", at positions 28 to 1378 of the family's 1533-position model. The record is from RNAcentral.
GACGAACGCUGGCGGCGUGCUUAACACAUGCAAGUCGAACGGAAAGGCCCUGCUUUUGUGGGGUGCUCGAGUGGCGAACGGGUGAGUAACACGUGAGUAACCUGCCCUUGACUUUGGGAUAACUUCAGGAAACUGGGGCUAAUACCGGAUAGGAGCUCCUGCUGCAUGGUGGGGGUUGGAAAGUUUCGGCGGUUGGGGAUGGACUCGCGGCUUAUCAGCUUGUUGGUGGGGUAGUGGCUUACCAAGGCUUUGACGGGUAGCCGGCCUGAGAGGGUGACCGGCCACAUUGGGACUGAGGUACGGCCCAGACUCCUACGGGAGGCAGCAGUGGGGAAUAUUGCACAAUGGGCGGAAGCCUGAUGCAGCAACGCCGCGUGCGGGAUGACGGCCUUCGGGUUGUAAACCGCUUUCGCCUGUGACGAAGCGUGAGUGACGGUAAUGGGUAAAGAAGCACCGGCUAACUACGUGCCAGCAGCCGCGGUGAUACGUAGGGUGCGAGCGUUGUCCGGAUUUAUUGGGCGUAAAGGGCUCGUAGGUGGUUGAUCGCGUCGGAAGUGUAAUCUUGGGGCUUAACCCUGAGCGUGCUUUCGAUACGGGUUGACUUGAGGAAGGUAGGGGAGAAUGGAAUUCCUGGUGGAGCGGUGGAAUGCGCAGAUAUCAGGAGGAACACCAGUGGCGAAGGCGGUUCUCUGGGCCUUUCCUGACGCUGAGGAGCGAAAGCGUGGGGAGCGAACAGGCUUAGAUACCCUGGUAGUCCACGCUGUAAACGGUGGGUACUAGGUGUGGGGUCCAUUCCACGGGUUCCGUGCCGUAGCUAACGCUUUAAGUACCCCGCCUGGGGAGUACGGCCGCAAGGCUAAAACUCAAAGGAAUUGACGGGGCCCCGCACAAGCGGCGGAGCAUGCGGAUUAAUUCGAUGCAACGCGUAGAACCUUACCUGGGUUUGACAUGGAUCGGGAGUGCUCAGAGAUGGGUGUGCCUCUUUUGGGGUCGGUUCACAGGUGGUGCAUGGCUGUCGUCAGCUCGUGUCGUGAGAUGUUGGGUUAAGUCCCGCAACGAGCGCAACCCUUGUUCACUGUUGCCAGCACGUUAUGGUGGGGACUCAGUGGAGACCGCCGGGGUCAACUCGGAGGAAGGUGGGGAUGACGUCAAGUCAUCAUGCCCCUUAUGUCCAGGGCUUCACGCAUGCUACAAUGGCUGGUACAGAGAGUGGCGAGCCUGUGAGGGUGAGCGAAUCUCGGAAAGCCGGUCUCAGUUCGGAUUGGGGUCUGCAACUCGACCUCAUGAAGUCGGAGUCGCUAGUAAUCGCAGAUCAGCAACGCUGCGGUGAAUACGUUCCCGGG